CCAGCAUGCAUAAUCUUGCCAAUAUACACUAUUCAAACCAGCAAAGAAAGAGAAUUUGACAAACUGGACAGAAAAAUAAGGAAGAAGAAAAUAGCAGAUUUGAACUGAAU
Long non-coding RNA from Gracilinanus agilis (Agile Gracile Mouse Opossum), 110 nucleotides. RefSeq lists it as uncharacterized. The transcript is spliced from 2 exons. The record is from RefSeq and is a predicted model, not a curated record. NCBI's taxonomy places the organism in Eukaryota, Metazoa, Chordata, Mammalia, Didelphimorphia, Didelphidae.